UUGAUAUGAAAAUAGUAAAUAAUGUAAAAUUAUUCUUACAAACUAGAAAAUAAGGACUAAAACUAAAAGUAAACCCAAUAAUAUAUAUUUUUUUGUCUUACUUAAGGUAUCUAGACCAUAUUUUACAAGAACUGUUUUAUGAAGAACAGUCGCCAUAAAUUUGGCAAUUAUCUUUCUUAUUAGUUCAGAAACACCUAUUGUUUUUUUUUAUAAUUUAGAAAUCAAGUAAACAGAAUUAUUAGAUAGGUCUGAAUUAAAGUUAUAACAAAUGGUUUAAUUUGAUGUUUUAUUUACCAAAAAAAUAAAUAUUUUACCACUUCUCUUGUCAAGGUCUAGAUACCUCGAUAUACACAUCAAAAGAAAAUGUUACACAGAUUACAAUUAGUAAUGAAUUGAUAAAAAAUAUCAAAAGUCUCACAGUGGAUGAAUUCUUUGUAUAGAUUUAGCAAUGAAAUAGCCAAACUGGUUUGAUUAAGCAAUGAAUUAUAUGCAUCAGUGGAAAAUAACAUGAUAUGUCAUCAGUUUUACUUUCUUUCACAACUUAGAUUGAAUUUAAUAUUAAAGAAUGCGAUUAUAUAUAUUUUUACACAUUUAUAUUUGCGUAAAUGAUUUACCAAUCAAUAUUAAAAUUAAUAAUCAUAAAAAAGAUCUCGACUAGGUAUAUAAUUGCUGCUCCUCUAUAUAUCACAGACAAAUUACCAUUUUUUCUAAAUUGUAAGGUAUCGGUAUCACAACCAAUUGAAUUCAUCAAACCUUAUCAUUUUAAAUUUUAAAUCAGUUCAAUAAGAAACAAAGUAUAGAUCUUCAAAACAAAAGGAGUAGGUCCGGUAAGGGCCGAUUUUGGCCUCAAAUUUCAGGUUCAUCUAAUGAAAGUUUUUGGACACUUUCUAAACACUUAAGUGUCUAUUUCAAUUGAUUUGAUUAGUUUAUAUGAAAGAUUUUAACUGAUUUACGCAUUAAAAACCCUCUGAUUCAAGCUUAAAUAUGAAAAAUCUAUCAAAUAUUAAAAAAAACGUCACUUUUCAGAUGGUUUUUGACAAAAAGUGGCCGCCGCAUCCGUGUUCAUCCUCAACCUUAAUAUAUGUUUUGUAUUAUCAUCAAAUACAACUUACAUUUCAAUAUUAUGAAUGAACACAAAUGUGGUCACUUCCAUUUUAGACGAAAACCGUCUCCAAAAUGCUAAAAAAGUGAAGAUUUCAGUAAUUUAGCAUGACUUAUUGAUGCUAGAAUGUGAUGUUUGUGCAUUGUAUUGUCAAAAACAGCUCAUAUUUAUGAAGCAGAAGCAUUUUACUUUCAAAAUAUAGCUUAAAGAUUUAAUUUUCACAAUUUUCUGAACCUGCUAUAUUUUGGGGCCAAAAAGGGGUCCUUUGAGAUCAAUAUGAGAACAAGUAGUCAAGUUUUAUAUUAAACUAAGCAGAGUUAUAAUUACAACCCUUGCACCUAUAAUCUAUAUUAUGAUGUAUCAUGAAAAAUAUUUUUUCAUAGAAAUUCCAGUUUUAAAAAAUAUCCCUCUAAAAUAAAUACCCAUACUGUAUUGUGCAACCUUAAAAGAUAAAUAUUAAAUGGUCUUGACAUAAAAUAUUGAGAUUCUUAUAGAAUAUUUGAACAGCUGUGUUGAUGAACAUAUACAUUCAAAAAUAUAAACUCUACUGAUAUAACAUUUUUUGAAAUUACAAGAUGAUAACUGAAGUCUCAGACACAAAUUCUUUUAUCCCUUAACUGUAAAACAUAUAAAAUAUCUAACGAAAAUUCUGCAUUUUAUACAAUCCAGGCAAUGAGAAAAAAAAAAACAACACAAACAAUCAAACAAAAUGCAAACUAAUAUCAAAUCUUUUUUUUACAAUUUAACAAAUUGUGCUGUUUUUUUCAACAAAAAUUUUUGUACGACUUAGGAUCAAAUCCAGUCGAUCUAAAUAUGUCAAAAUUGCAAUAUAUAUAAUUUUCUAAACUUUAAAUUUAUGUUAACCUGAAAAACUGAAUAAAUUUAUGUUAAGCUGUUGGAGUUAUCAUUCUGUUAUUAUCAGCUUUACCUUGCAAGUUAGAAAUUAAAAUAAUCUGACACAAGGCUGCUUGUAAUUAUAUUAAAAGACAAUGUUUCAAAAGUCUAUUGUGAAAAAGAUUCAAAUUUUGCUAAUUCAUAUGAUGCUUAAUACCAAAUAUCAAGC
Molecule: long non-coding RNA, 2165 nt
Filed under: Mytilus galloprovincialis (Mediterranean mussel)
Lineage: Eukaryota; Metazoa; Mollusca; Bivalvia; Mytilida; Mytilidae
Source: RNAcentral